GUGGGGAAUUUGGACAAUGGGCGCAAGCCUGAUCCAGCAAUGCCGCGUGCAGGAAGAAGGCCUUCGGGUUGUAAACUGCUUUUGUACGGAACGAAACGGUCCUGGUUAAUACCUGGGGCUAAUGACGGUACCGUAAGAAUAAGCACCGGCUAACUACGUGCCAGCAGCCGCGGUAAUACGUAGGGUGCGAGCGUUAAUCGGAAUUACUGGGCGUAAAGCGUGCGCAGGCGGUGCUGUAAGACAGGCGUGAAAUCCCCGGGCGCAACCUGGGAAUUGCGCUUGUGACUGCAGUGCUGGAGUACGGCAGAGGGGGAUGGAAUUCCGCGUGUAGCAGUGAAAUGCGUAGAUAUGCGGAGGAACACCGAUGGCGAAGGCAGUCCCCUGGGCCUGUACUGACGCUCAUGCACGAAAGCGUGGGGAGCAAACAGGAUUAGAAACCCUGGUAGUCC
RNAcentral lists this ribosomal RNA (449 nucleotides) under uncultured bacterium. Its description in RNAcentral is "partial 16S ribosomal RNA". It matches the Rfam family "Bacterial small subunit ribosomal RNA", at positions 354 to 796 of the family's 1533-position model. The record is from RNAcentral.